RNAcentral lists this ribosomal RNA (256 nucleotides) under uncultured bacterium. RNAcentral describes it as "partial 16S ribosomal RNA". It matches the Rfam family "Bacterial small subunit ribosomal RNA", at positions 524 to 776 of the family's 1533-position model. The record is from RNAcentral.
UACGUAGGUGGCGAGCGUUGUCCGGAUUUACUGGGCGUAAAGAGCGCGCAGGCGGUCGUCCAAGUCGCGUGUGAAAGCCCCCGGCUCAACUGGGGGAGGGUCACGCGAUACUGAUCGACUCGAAGGCAGGAGAGGGUAGUGGAAUUCCCGGUGUAGUGGUGAAAUGACGCAGAGUAUCAGGAAGAACACCCGUGGCGAAGGCGGUUCUCUGGGACGGUACUGACGCUGAGACGCGAAAGCGUGGGGAGCGAACAGG